GCUAUCUGAGAAUAUCUCUAAAUUGCACAUGACAUAUAAAAUUAGAAAGAGAACUCUAUUCCGAAUUUUUUCGUAAUAAAUUAUAGAUAAAAGUCCUACUGUUUACAAUAGCGACCUUUCCAAGGUUUCCGAUUAUUGUGUUUCUUAGCCACGAACAUCCUGCGACGUGACGAGGUCUUGCGGUUUUACGGACAAACACAUUUCUACCGACCACUCGCGACGGACAACGGACGUGAUAGCAAUCAAACCUGAUAAGACCUGAUAAAACCUGCUUGGUAGGAGUUCGAUAAUCGUACGGAUGAUAUCAGACUUUAUUAGAAAUUGGCCCUAUUUGCAGUCGUUUUUCAAACGCGAUCCGAGUGAGUGGUAUCUCCCUUCGUGAAAUCUUCGACGACGCAAGAAUAUCCAGCUCCCAGUAAUCUCUCAGGUUCUAAAUCUCUCUUUCACGCGCAAUAUGGAACCCUCGGCGACCGGCAAUGACAAAGCCGAGGCGCAACAGAUCAAAUCUUUUCGACUUUGUAAAUAUGUGAAGAAGGAAGACUAUUAUAAUGC
Molecule: long non-coding RNA, 552 nt
Organism: Pogonomyrmex barbatus (red harvester ant)
Lineage: Eukaryota; Metazoa; Arthropoda; Insecta; Hymenoptera; Formicidae
Source: RefSeq, a predicted model, not a curated record